Capra hircus (goat) is the source of this 1808-nucleotide long non-coding RNA. RefSeq lists it as uncharacterized. The transcript is spliced from 3 exons. The record is from RefSeq and is a predicted model, not a curated record. NCBI's taxonomy places the organism in Eukaryota, Metazoa, Chordata, Mammalia, Artiodactyla, Bovidae.
GUCCGGGCCCAGCGCUGGCGGGAGGGAGCGCGCGCGGGUGCCACCCACCCUUCGCCCUCUCAAGCUAGGUCCCCUUUGUUCCCCCACCCGGAAAGAGGCCGCCGCGCCAGGGAAGCACCCAGCCACAGAGUCCUCCAGGCGCCGAUCCUGCGCGGUCGUCUUGGUCCCGGAGAUGACCGAGUCCCGGCACACGGACCGCCACGACCACAGGGAGGAAGAGCCAGCUCAUCAUUGCCCACUGCCGGUCAGGCAGAACCAUGCGGCCCCCAGGGCCCCCGCAAGCCCACUGCUUCACAGGCCUGCAGCCCUGCCCCGUACCCCCUUGUCUCCCUGAAAGUUUGUUAACUGUUCUCCCCUGGGAGAGGGCCACCCAGGAACAUUGAAACAAGAGCAAGAAUCCCAGAGGCAAGCCUUCCAUCCUCCCCUUCUGCCAGUGUCCAGCUCUUCUGGCCCCAAGGAGCCUCCAGUGAGGACUUUGAUUCCAAAAGAACAGAAGCCUGGGGGCCUACGUCUCCUUUCACUCUGAAACCUGGAAUUCUGGAGCUGUGCUAGGCAGAGAUUAUAUACAACAGAGUCGUUUAAGACCUGCCUCUGCUGCUAAGUUCAGGGCCUUGGGUGGAUGUGAGGAUACACAACUCAGUGGAGACCUGGUGUGGGGCCCGGCGCACAGUGAGUGGAAGCUGGCUCCUGUCCCUGUGGUGAUUCCUGUGUGCUGACCCCUUUCCUGACUGAGCCCCUGGACAAGGUUCGGACCCCAGCAGAGAGCCCCGCAUAGGAGCCAGGUGUUGAGAGGCCGGUGCUGCUGAAUGAAUGGGUGGAUGCCCUCCCCACACAGAAGCGACUUCUCUUCAUCAACGCUUGUGACUCACAUCUUGUCAAAUCUCUCCAGCUUGAAAACCUUCCUCCUGCAGCUGCCGAUUGGAGAGCAUCCACAUUUCAUGGCUAGAGACCUGAAUUCCAGGGCCAGCCGGUUGUCCAUGAGCUGGAUGAUCACUCCCUUGAGCCAACCGUUCCCCGUGGUCGUGCGGGGCUUGUGGUCCCCCAGGCUGCCUCUGAGGAUUAGACGCGUUUUAUCUUGUGCAGGGAACACAGGGCAUCGAGAUACCACCCAAAGACAGCCACCGUGGACUCACUCCAAGUGUUCUUCCUGGGGGGGCUCCCUAGCACAUAUGCGGGCAAUUUCCCCUGUAUUGUUCUAUAAUCCUUGAUGGUUGCUCUAUAAUUGCUCUCAAAUGGUUUAAUCAUAAUAAAUAGCAUCUGCAGAGCAGUUUACAAACUGUAACUCUUCCCGCACCCCCCUCCCACCUUUACAGAAAGAAACUGAUGCUCAGAGAAGUUAAUGAACUUCUCUAAGACCACACAGUGAGCAAGGAGGCAGAGCUCACCCCUCCCCAGGCUGUGGGGCUGGCAGGUCCCCAGGCCAGUGUAUCCCCAGCUCACUGUGUCCCCAGUUCUGUGCAGGGGCGGGAGGCACAGGGAGCCUGGCAGAAGGCAUGGAGGCUGUCUGGGAUCUGAUGGCUGGUGGGGAGGGGGCAUUUCACCAGGUGUGAGGGUGUCCAGGCAGGACUGUAUGCUCGCCUGUGGGUGCAGGUAGGCAUUCAGGCUGAGACCAGGUGACCCCUAAAGGGGGCUUAUUUAGGGGUCAUACCUCCCAGGGUGAGAUGUGGAACCAGCUUAGUGUCACAAACCCUUUUUGUUCUUAGGUUUAGGUGACUUAGAAUCUUCUAGAAAAAGACUGGGCCAGAUGAAAUGCUUCCAUUGGAACGAGAAGCAAUGCUUCCAUUGCUUCCAGUCUCACCCAGAUAAAC